CCAAUACAUAAACCAGACAGAAUAUAUAAAGAAUUAUCGUCCUAUUUCGUUGUUUAAUAUAGACAUCAAAAUAUGCUCAAGCAUUUUAGCAAACAGUUUGCAAACCAUUUUACCGAACCAUGCUUUUGGCAAAAAAUCUAUCUAAAGAUGUGCAAGCAAGGAUUAAAGCAAAUUAUGACUUUGAAUGGGUAGAAGGCAUCCAAUAUUUGGGAAUAAAAAUCUCUAGGGAUCCAAAUAAAAUUGUAGAGAAUAAUAUCUUGCCCUUAAUUAAACAAAUAAAUAAAGAACUAAAAGAUUUAAGAAACACAGAGAUUUCAUGGACAGGCAGGAUAAAUUUAAUAAAAUCCUAUAUAAUCCUGAAAUGGAGCAACAUAUUCCGCAUGCUUCCUCUAAAGGUCCCAAAACCAUGGCUUACAAUGAUCCAGUCUGCUUUAGAUAAAUAUAUCUGGUUAAAAAAAAAAAAAAACCUAGAGUCAAUAGAAAGAUAUUAAAUUUAAAUUCUAAAAAUGGAGGAAUGGGUUUGCCUAACAUGCUAGAGUUGUAUGAGACAUGCGCAUUGGCUCAUAUAGUUCCAUCUUUGAAAGAGAGUUCUAUGGAGGAAUCUUGGGCCAAAAUAGAAGCGAUAAGAAUGAAUGUCCCAGAUUUAUUAUCCAUAUUUUGGAAAAUGAACAAUAAGGAUAAUCUCUACACAGGUUUAAUCACUAAUAAUCUAAUGUCACAUUGGAAAAACUGGAAAAAGAGACUCAAGAUUGUAGACAUAAUUAUUAAAGACUUGCCAUUAAAUAUUCUGACAGCUAAUAUUGAAGACUUAAGUAUUAGAAUUUGGAAGGCUAAUGGUAUUCAUAGAAUCGAUCAGAUUAUGCAACAAAAUCAGAUUGUUCCUUUUGAACAAAUUAGACAAACUUUUUCCCUCCCAUAUAAAGAAAACUUUACAUACUUAAGGAUAAAACAUUUUAUAAACAAACACAAAGUAGAAGAAACUUCAGGUUUACAAUCUUUCUUAAAUAUACUAAAUAUUAAGAGUAAUAAAAAAUUGGUAUCAAGGUGUGCAAACCUGUGCGAUCUAUUUAAAAUCAUCCCAGUCUUUCCAGCUCUUAAGUCCUGCCGCAAUGGCCAGGGACCCAGGCUGACAGGGGAGAUCAGUGUAUAUGUAGAAAAAACAACGAGGGAACCGGCUGAUAAUCUCUACAAAAGUAAAUAGAGAAAAUAUAGUGUAAUACAGUUUACAGUAUAGACAUUGCGCAAAUUGAAAUGCACUCACUGGAUUUUGGACAAAUUGAAGCUUGUAAGGUGCCUUCCCCGAUAGUAGGGGGGGCUAGGGAAAUCCCCUGGAUAUUUUCACUCCAACACAGGACUCCGGGUGAAGUUUGAAAAAUUGGCUUUAAUUCAAUAUUAAAAUAUGUUUAAAAAAGAAUAAAAUAAAUAUAAAUAAGGUCCUACGCGUUUCGUCCCUUUAACAAAAUAGGGACUUCCUCAGGGACCACAAUAUUAAGAAACAAUUUGAUACAGUACAAUCAAAAAACAGCCUAACAAAUCCCCACCCGAAAAGUCCUUUAAAUAGGGCUAAUCCCUCAUCUAAAUUCAGUCACAUGUUAUCCUCAGACUCUCCUCAUUGGUCCUCCAUUAAUAGGGUUCAUCUGUUGCCAUCGCGGCUCCAGUGUUCACAGCUGAUUUCGGAAUUGUUCAAUAAUCCUCCGACAGCUGCCGGCACGGAAGUGCCGUGCGUUCCAACUGCGUUCACUAAACCGGAAGUGGCAACGCUAAUAUGCCGAUCUCGCGAGAGUGAAAUCAGUGUAUAGUAGACAAACUAUCUCCCCACAGGCACUGAGAUGCGGCAGGGGAGGCAGGGAGAGAGGACCCGGUGGAGCUCUAUCCUGCAGCUCCGCCGGGUUCCUCUCAUGAGGUCUGAGCGUUGCCAUGGUUACUAUGGCAACGCUCCGAUCUCGCGAGAGUGAACUCUACCCCAGGAACUACAGGGUAGAGUUCACUCCACACUGGAACACCAGGGAUUUCCCCCUGGACCACAUGGGGUACAAGCCCCCCUCUCCAAGGCAAAGGUAGGAAGGGAGGGAUAUAAAUAUUAUAAUAAUUUUAAAUUUAAAAAAAAAAAACAAAACCCACAUACAAAUUUUUUAGUUUUACCCCACAUCAGACCAGUGGCGUCACUAGGGGGCGGCCAGAGGGGGCCAUGGCCCCCCCUAGAUCAGGCUGUGCCCCCCCAAAUGAAAGCUACUGCUCCCUGGUCUUUAUUAUGUUCCCUCAGACUGUAACAGCCUGUUACAGUCUGAGGGAAUUCAGGACAGAGGGGCUCACUGCUGGAGAGAGGUGCUGGGGGACUGUGGAUAGCUGCUGAGGGCUGGAGCAGCUGCAUUGAGGCUGCUGGGGGCGGGAGGGAGCACUGACAGUCUCCCUUCCGAAUUCCCAGCAGCUUCCCCUGCACACAGGCUCCAGCUUUACCUGCUUGUGCAGGCUCCGCCCCCGCGACGAUAGCUCCACCCACACAUCCGCCUCCAGCCCAAGCUCCGCCCCCCCCCCCAGUAAAGCAGCAGACCUUGCUGCAGUCUGAAG
Molecule: long non-coding RNA, 2568 nt
Filed under: Pelobates cultripes (western spadefoot toad)
Lineage: Eukaryota; Metazoa; Chordata; Amphibia; Anura; Pelobatidae
Source: RNAcentral